UUGAGGUCCCUGCCUGCUAACCUGACUGUGGAUCCUCAUCUGAGAGGAGGGAGAUGAAAACACACCCACCUCACAGGCUGUUGUGAGGACUAAGGGUGCGGCAGUGCCUGGUACAUGGAGCCAGCGCCGGCAGCCACCAUGGCGUCACGCAUAGGGUUGCGCAUGCAGCUCAUGCGGGAGCAGGCGCAGCAGGAGGAGCAGCGGGAGCGCAUGCAGCAACAGGCUGUCAUGCAUUACAUGCAGCAGCAGCAGCAGCAGCAACAGCAGCAGCUCGGAGGGCCGCCCACCCCGGCCAUCAAUACCCCCGUCCACUUCCAGUCGCCACCACCUGUGCCUGGGGAGGUGUUGAAGUGCAGUCCUACCUGGAGAAUCC
This 373-nucleotide long non-coding RNA is filed under the name Homo sapiens (human). RNAcentral's name for it is "non-protein coding lnc-PGC-1:2". The record is from RNAcentral. Lineage: Eukaryota; Metazoa; Chordata; Mammalia; Primates; Hominidae.